GAUAAAAUGUAACAUAAAAAUUCUUUCUCCUUUUUUUCCCUUCAGAUCUUCAACUUGGUCCCGAUUAUAAAAUAUUUUCCAGGGCCGCAUCAGAAGAUGUGGCAUAAUGUCCAAGCCUUAAAAAAAUUUAUCUUCGAAAUUGUGGAGGAGCACAAGAAGACUCUGGAUCCAGACAACCCACGGGACUUCACUGACACCUACCUGAUCCAGAUGACCAAGCAGCAAGAGUCAAAAUUCAAGAUUCUACGUUCCAUGUGGAGAACAUGAUGUCAACCACUGACCUGUUCUUUGCUGGAACGGAAACUACAGUGACCACUCUCAGAUGGGGGGUCAUUUACAUAAUGGAUCACCCCGAUGUUCAAGUGCUUACACCUGUCAUAUAUGGAAUGAGCAGGGAGAAUGGAUAUAAGUGCGAGCAGACUUUAAUAACCAAAACAAACUAGCAAAAUACAAAGUAACUAACUACAAGGCUUAAACAAAGGAACACAAAGAGCAAACAAAACACGAGGAAGGGAAGGAACCACUACAUCAGACAAAGAGAUGAGUAGACCAGUCAAACACUGACUGAAACAAAGGGCUAGAUAUAGGCUACAACAAAUGGGGAACACCUCGGAGAGGGAGGAGACAGAGACUACAGACAGGGAACUGAGAUUGUUCUCAACUUAAUGGCCAUCUUCACUGACAAAGAGGACUGGAAGUAUCCAGACACGUUCAACCCGGACAACUUUCUGGAUGAGAAAGGGCAGCUCUGCAAAAAUGACUCCUUUGUGCUGUUCUCUCUGGCAAAUCAUCACUGGUCCACCAGAAAGUCUCCUGAUCCUGAAGAUGGAGCUCUUCAUCUUCUUCACCUCUCUGAUCCAGCGGCUGAAGUUUUCCUGGCCUCCUGGAGCUCCACGCCCAAACAUGGAUGGCACUAUUGGCGUGGUUCGUUCUCCCUACCCCUUCAAUACCAUCUGCCACAGCAGAGAGAACACUCACUGAAUCAAGUUUGGUUUUGCGUGUGAAUGGACAGCAUCACCCCAGGAGAACUCCCUCUUCUUUAACACAUCUAAUCUAUCACAAUAAGAGCAUGCUGUCAAGCUCUUUCUUUAAACCAGGACCAACCAGGGGUAAAUGUAAAAGUCCCAGACCACAUUAAC
Molecule: long non-coding RNA, 1139 nt
Organism: Colossoma macropomum (tambaqui)
Lineage: Eukaryota; Metazoa; Chordata; Actinopteri; Characiformes; Serrasalmidae
Exons: 5
Source: RefSeq, a predicted model, not a curated record